UCUAGGUCUCUGUUGAUCGCUUUAACCAUGUCUUUCAGAAUCAGAGGGACAAAUGCAUCCUCUGGCAUGGGGGUUGCUGAUCAAAGCAAAGCUACUUAUAUGGAACUGCAAAGGAAGAAGGUGCAUCGAUAUGUGAUAUUUAUGAUUGAUGAGAAGAAAAAUGAGGUUGUGGUUGAGAAAACUGGAGGUCCAGCUGAGAGCUAUGAUGAUUUCACUGCAGCUCUUCCUGAGAAUGACUGCCGAUAUGCAGUAUACGAUUAUGACUUCGUGACAUCUGACAACUGCCAAAAGAGCAAAAUUUUCUUCUUUGCCUGGUCUCCAUCUGUUUCCCGAAUCCGAUCGAAGAUGCUGUAUGCGACAUCUAAGGACAGGUUCAGGAGGGAGCUGCAAGGCAUACACUAUGAGAUUCAAGCUACUGACCCUACUGAAGUAGAACUUGAAGUGCUCAAAGAACGCGCUUACUGAUUGAUCAAACAUCCUACUAUGAAACAACCAUUCAUAAUAUUUCUGUGUAAUCGCGUCUUACAAGACUCGAUCUACUUAACUAUGACAUAAAUAACUCGAUGCUUGGGUUGCUGAUUACCGGACGACUCAUGAUAGUUAGUAUAUCAUGUUUUCUGGUUAUGAGCUCGCUCAUUCUCAUGAUGCUUCCUAGUCGAGAAACGAGUAUGGUGUUCUGUAUGUGAAUGGUUAUCAACUUCUCUAUGUCUACGCAAUGAAUAUUAUGUGUUAUUAGUAUCUGACUGAUAAAUUUCUGUUGUUCUUUUCCUGUCUAUCUGUUUGGGAGAUGGUUAAAUAGAUCUUUAGUUGAACCUACAGCGCGUUUUUUGGUCGCUUAUACAAGCCAUGUACUGCGAAG
RNAcentral lists this unclassified non-coding RNA (859 nucleotides) under Hevea brasiliensis (rubber tree). The record is from RNAcentral. Lineage: Eukaryota; Viridiplantae; Streptophyta; Magnoliopsida; Malpighiales; Euphorbiaceae.